CUGAAAUCCACGUGUCUAUGGCCACUCCCGUCACUGUGUCCAUGGAGACUGUAUCCAAUCAAAAUAAUGAUCAGCCUACCAUUGCCGUCCCUCCAACUGCCCAGCAGCCCCCACCGACCAUUCCAACUAUGAUUGCAGCAGCCAGUCCCCCGUCACAACCAGCCGUUGCCCUUUCAACCAUUCCUGGAGCGGUCCCCAUCACUCCACCCAUCACCACCAUUGCAGCUGCACCACCUCCAUCAGUCACUGUGGGUGGCAGUCUUUCCUCCGUCUUGGGCCCUCCCGUUCCUGAAAUUAAAGUGAAAGAAGAAGUAGAACCAAUGGAUAUCAUGAGGCCAGUUUCUGCAGUUCCUCCGCUGGCUACCAACACUGUGUCUCCAUCUCUUGCAUUGCUGGCAAACAACUUGUCCAUGCCUACAAGUGACCUACCACCUGGUGCCUCCCCAAGGAAAAAGCCUCGAAAGCAACAGCAUGUGAUCUCAACAGAAGAAGGUGACAUGAUGGAGACAAACAGCACUGAUGAUGAGAAGUCCACUGCCAAGAGUCUUCUGGUGAAGGCUGAGAAGCGCAAGUCUCCUCCCAAGGAGUAUAUUGGUAAUGGUCACAGGCUGACUUGUGUUAUGAUGCUUCCCAAUAAAGUCAGAGUCCAACCCAGAG
Molecule: long non-coding RNA, 657 nt
Filed under: Pan troglodytes (chimpanzee)
Lineage: Eukaryota; Metazoa; Chordata; Mammalia; Primates; Hominidae
Description: long non-coding RNA NONPTRT011036
Source: RNAcentral